Molecule: ribosomal RNA, 253 nt
Filed under: uncultured bacterium
Lineage: Bacteria
Description: partial 16S ribosomal RNA
Rfam family: Bacterial small subunit ribosomal RNA
Source: RNAcentral
UACGGAGGGUGCGAGCGUUGUCCGGAAUCACUGGGCGUAAAGGGCGCGUAGGCGGCCUUCUAAGUCGGACGUGAAAUCCCCGGGCUCAACCCGGGAACUGCGUCCGAUACUGGAAGGCUUGAAUCCGGGAGAGGGAUGCGGAAUUCCAGGUGUAGCGGUGAAAUGCGUAGAUAUCUGGAGGAACACCGGUGGCGAAGGCGGCAUCCUGGACCGGCAUUGACGCUGAGGCGCGAAAGCCAGGGGAGCAAACGGG